AGAGUUUGAUCCUGGCUCAGGAUGAACGCUAGCGACAGGCUUAACACAUGCAAGUCGAGGGGCAGCGGGGGAGUAGCAAUACUCCCGCCGGCGACCGGCGCACGGGUGAGUAACACGUAUGAAACCUGCCCGUAGCAGGGGGAUAAGCGGAAGAAAUUCCGUCUAAUACCGCGUAACAACCCUUGGAGGCAUCUCCUCGGGUUUAAAGGGAGCGAUUCCGGCUACGGAUGGUCAUGCGUCGCAUUAGCUUGUUGGCGGGGUAACGGCCCACCAAGGCGACGAUGCGUAGGGGUUCUGAGAGGAAGGUCCCCCACACUGGUACUGAGACACGGACCAGACUCCUACGGGAGGCAGCAGUGAGGAAUAUUGGUCAAUGGCCGCAGGGCUGAACCAGCCAAGUCGCGUGAGGGAUGACGGUCCUAUGGAUUGUAAACCUCUUUUGUCAGGGAGCAAAGGGCGCCACGUGUGGCGUUUUGCGAGUACCUGAAGAAAAAGCAUCGGCUAACUCCGUGCC
RNAcentral lists this ribosomal RNA (514 nucleotides) under uncultured bacterium. RNAcentral's name for it is "bacterial SSU rRNA". It matches the Rfam family "Bacterial small subunit ribosomal RNA", at positions 8 to 509 of the family's 1533-position model. The record is from RNAcentral.